GACGUAGGGUGCGAGCGUUGUCCGGAUUUACUGGGCGUAAAGCGCGCGUAGGCGGCUCGUUAAGUUCGAAGUGAAAUCCCGGGGCUCAACUCCGGAACCGCUUCGGAUACUGGCGGGCUGGAGGGAUGCAGAGGUCUGUGGAAUUCCCGGUGUAACGGUGAAAUGUGUUGAUAUCGGGAGGAACACCCAUGGCGAAGGCAGCAGACUGGGCAUCACCUGACGCUGAGGCGCGAAAGCGUGGGUAGCAAACAGG
This 253-nucleotide ribosomal RNA is filed under the name uncultured Armatimonadota bacterium. RNAcentral describes it as "uncultured Armatimonadetes bacterium partial 16S ribosomal RNA". It matches the Rfam family "Bacterial small subunit ribosomal RNA", at positions 524 to 776 of the family's 1533-position model. Lineage: Bacteria; Bacillati; Armatimonadota. The record is from RNAcentral.